GAAGCUGAUUGGCGGGAUC
Molecule: small nuclear RNA, 19 nt
Filed under: Arabidopsis thaliana (thale cress)
Lineage: Eukaryota; Viridiplantae; Streptophyta; Magnoliopsida; Brassicales; Brassicaceae
Description: snRNA_06990
Source: RNAcentral